ACACUCCUACGGGAGGCAGCAGUGGGGAAUUUUGGACAAUGGGCGAAAGCCUGAUCCAGCAAUGCCGCGUGUGUGAAGAAGGCCUUCGGGUUGUAAAGCACUUUUGUCCGGAAAGAAAUCCUUGGCUCUAAUACAGUCGAGGGAUGACGGUACCGGAAGAAUAAGCACCGGCUAACUACGUGCCAGCAGCCGCGGUAAUCCGUAGGGUGCGAGCGUUAAUCGGAAUUACUGGGCGUAAAGCGUGCGCAGGCGGUUUGCUAAGACCGAUGUGAAAUCCCCGGGCUCAACCUGGGAACUGCAUUGGUGACUGGCAGGCUAGAGUAUGGCAGAGGGGGGUAGAAUUCCACGUGUAGCAGUGAAAUGCGUAGAGAUGUGGAGGAAUACCGAUGGCGAAGGCAGCCCCCUGGGCCAAUACUGACGCUCAUGCACGAAAGCGUGGGGAGCAAACAGGAUUAGAUACCCUAGUAGUCCCA
RNAcentral lists this ribosomal RNA (473 nucleotides) under uncultured organism. RNAcentral's name for it is "partial 16S ribosomal RNA". It matches the Rfam family "Bacterial small subunit ribosomal RNA", at positions 333 to 797 of the family's 1533-position model. The record is from RNAcentral.